GCCUAAAAUCCAGCCCCCCUCCCCCUUAAUAAAACGUAUUAAUUAACAAGAAAAACUAAAACAUUUUCUCAACUUAGUAAAGGCGAUUAAAAAGUAUCUAGGAGCCUAAACAUUAGUACCGCAAGGGAAAAAUGAAAGAAAAAUGAAAUAAAUUUAAAGCACUAUAAAGUAAAGAUAAAUCCUUGUACCUUUUGCAUCAUGGUUUGACUAGUAAAAUCAAGCAAAAAGAACUUUAAGUCUGACACCCCGAAACUAGACGAGCUACUUCAAAACAGCCCCACGAGCCAACCCAUCUCUGUCGCAAAAGAGUGGGAAGAUUUUUAAGUAGAGGUGAUAAACCUACCGAGCCUAGAGAUAGCUGGUUAUUCAGGAAAAGGAUCUAAGUCCAAUUUUAAUUCUUCACAUAACAUUAAAUAUACUUACAGAUUUAAAAUUUACUCAAAUAAGGUACAGCCUAUUUGAAACAGGAUACAACCUCUCACAGAGGGUAAUGCCCACAAAACACGACUAAGUAGGCCUAAAAGCAGCCACCUUUUAAAAAGCGUUAAAGCCUCAUCAUAUAAAAUUAUAAAUACCCACCUAAACCCAAAACCCCUUAACCCCCACUGAAUGACUUCAUACCUUUAUGAAAAUCCUUAUGUUAAAACCAGUAACAAGAAUAAUUAUUCUCCUAUAAAUGUAAGUAUAAGCCGAAAUGGACCCCCCCACCGACACUUACCGCUAAUGAACCCACAGUAAUAACUUCCCCAAGAAAACCUUACUUUUUUCCCAGCGUUAACCUUACACAAGAACUUUUCUGGAAAGAUUAAAAAAAGAGGAAGGAACUCGGCAAACAUUAACCCCGCCUGUUUACCAAAAACAUCGCCUUUUGACAACCAAUUAAAGGUCCAGCCUGCCCAGUGAUAAACUUAAACGGCCGCGGUAUCUUAACCGUGCAAAGGUAGCACAAUCACUUGUUCCUUAAAUGGGGACUAGUAUGAACGGCACCACGAGGGUUACACUGUCUCCCCCUUUUAAUCAGUGAAACUAAUCUCCCCGUGAAGAAGCGGGGAUACCCCUAUAAGACGAGAAGACCCCAUGGAGCUUUAAACAAAGUAUCACUUGCAUAACUAAUACCACCUAAACCAAUGCAAAUUUGCCUACUAGUUUUUGGUUGGGGUGACCGCGGAGCAAAACAAAACCUCCACGAUGAAAGGAAAUUUAACUCCUAAUCAAAGAGCCACCACUCACAGAAUCAAAAUAUUGACCUAAAUUGACCCAAUAUAUUUGACCAACGAACCAAGUUACCCUGGGGAUAACAGCGCAAUCCAUUUCAAGAGCCCAUAUCAACAAAUGGGUUUACGACCUCGAUGUUGGAUCAGGGUAUCCCAGUGGUGCAGCUACUACUAAAGGUUCGUUUGUUCAGACGUAUUAA
RNAcentral lists this ribosomal RNA (1414 nucleotides) under Cophixalus sp. TNHC 51333. Its description in RNAcentral is "partial 16S ribosomal RNA". It matches the Rfam family "Bacterial large subunit ribosomal RNA", at positions 130 to 2592 of the family's 2925-position model. The record is from RNAcentral. Lineage: Eukaryota; Metazoa; Chordata; Amphibia; Anura; Microhylidae.